UACGAGAGGAACCGUUGA
RNAcentral lists this non-coding RNA (18 nucleotides) under Arabidopsis thaliana (thale cress). Lineage: Eukaryota; Viridiplantae; Streptophyta; Magnoliopsida; Brassicales; Brassicaceae. The record is from RNAcentral.